This 484-nucleotide ribosomal RNA is filed under the name uncultured bacterium. RNAcentral describes it as "partial 16S ribosomal RNA". It matches the Rfam family "Bacterial small subunit ribosomal RNA", at positions 30 to 507 of the family's 1533-position model. The record is from RNAcentral.
AUUGAACGCUGGCGGCAGGCCUAACACAUGCAAGUCGAGCGGAUGAAGGGAGCUUGCUCCUGGAUUCAGCGGCGGACGGGUGAGUAAUGCCUAGGAAUCUGCCUGGUAGUGGGGGAUAACGUCCGGAAACGGGCGCUAAUACCGCAUACGUCCUGAGGGAGAAAGUGGGGGAUCUUCGGACCUCACGCUAUCAGAUGAGCCUAGGUCGGAUUGGCUAGUUGGUGGGGUAAAGGCCUACCAAGGCGACGAUCCGUAACUGGUCUGAGAGGAUGAUCAGUCACACUGGAACUGAGACACGGUCCAGACUCCUACGGGAGGCAGCAGUGGGGAAUAUUGGACAAUGGGCGAAAGCCUGAUCCAGCCAUGCCGCGUGUGUGAAGAAGGUCUUCGGAUUGUAAAGCACCUUAAGUUGGGAGGAAGGGCAGUAAGUUAAUACCUUGCUGUUUUGACGUUACCAACAGAAUAAGCACCGGCUAACUUCGUG